UAAGUUAAUAAGGGCGCACGGUGGAUGCCUUGGCACUAGGAGCCGACGAAGGACGUGACAAACGACGAUAUGCCUUGGGUAGCUGUAAGUAAGCGAUGAUCCAGGGAUUUCCGAAUGGGGGAACCCAACAGGUAAUACCUGUUACCUACAUCUGUUAAGGAUGUGAGGAGGAAGACGCAGUGAACUGAAACAUCUAAGUAGCUGCAGGAAGAGAAAGCAAAAGCGAUUGCCUUAGUAGCGGCGAGUGAAACGGCAGAAGGGCAAACCGAAGAGUUUACUCUUCGGGGUUGUAGGACUGCAAUGUGGACUCAAAGAUUAUAGAAGAAUGAUUUGGGAAGAUCAGCCAAAGAGAGUAAUAGCCUCGUAUUUAAAAUAGUCUUUGUACUUAGCAGUAUCCUGAGUACGGCGGGACACGUGAAAUCCCGUCGGAAUCUGGGAGGACCAUCUCCCAACCCUAAAUACUCCCUAGUGACCGAUAGUGAACCAGUACCGUGAGGGAAAGGUGAAAAGCACCCCGGGAGGGGAGUGAAAUAGAACCUGAAACCGUGUGCCUACAACAAGUUCGAGCCCGUUAAUGGGUGAGAGCGUGCCUUUUGUAGAAUGAACCGGCGAGUUACGUUAUGAUGCGAGGUUAAGUUGAAGAGACGGAGCCGUAGGGAAACCGAGUCUGAAUAGGGCGCCUUAGUAUCAUGACGUAGACCCGAAACCAUGUGACCUACCCAUGAGCAGGUUGAAGGUGCGGUAAGACGCACUGGAGGACCGAACCAGGGCACGUUGAAAAGUGCUUGGAUGACUUGUGGGUAGCGGAGAAAUUCCAAACGAACUUGGAGAUAGCUGGUUCUCUCCGAAAUAGCUUUAGGGCUAGCGUCGACAUUAGAGAUUCUUGGAGGUAGAGCACUGUUUGGGUGAGGGGUCCAUCCCGGAUUACCAAUCUCAGAUAAACUCCGAAUGCCAAUGAAUUAUGGUCGGCAGUCAGACUGCGAGUGCUAAGAUCCGUAGUCGAAAGGGAAACAGCCCAGACCACCAGCUAAGGUCCCAAAAUAAUUGUUAAGUGGAAAAGGAUGUGGGGUUGCACAGACAACUAGGAUGUUAGCUUAGAAGCAGCUAUUCAUUCAAAGAGUGCGUAAUAGCUCACUAGUCGAGUGACCCUGCGCCGAAAAUGUACCGGGGCUAAAACAAUUUACCGAAGCUGUGGAUACCUUUAUAGGUAUGGUAGGAGAGCGUUCUAUGUGUGAUGAAGGUAUACCGUGAGGAGUGCUGGAACGCAUAGAAGUGAGAAUGCCGGUAUGAGUAGCGAAAGACAGGUGAGAAUCCUGUCCACCGUAAGACUAAGGUUUCCAGGGGAAGGCUCGUCCGCCCUGGGUUAGUCGGGACCUAAGGAGAGACCGAAAGGUGUAUCCGAUGGACAACAGGUUGAUAUUCCUGUACUAGAGUAUGUAGUGAUGGAGGGACGCAGUAGGCUAACUAAAGCAGACGAUUGGAAGAGUCUGUCUAAGCAGUGAGGUGUGAAUUGAGUCAAAUGCUUAAUUCUAUAACAUUGAGCUGUGAUGGGGAGCGAAGUUUAGUAGCGAAGUUAGUGACGUCACACUGCCAAGAAAAGCUUCUAGCGUUUAAACAUACUCUACCCGUACCGCAAACCGACACAGGUAGUCGAGGCGAGUAGCCUCAGGUGAGCGAGAGAACUCUCGUUAAGGAACUCGGCAAAAUGACCCCGUAACUUCGGGAGAAGGGGUGCUGACUUAAAGUCAGCCGCAGUGAAUAGGCCCAAGCAACUGUUUAUCAAAAACACAGCUCUCUGCUAAAUCGUAAGAUGAUGUAUAGGGGGUGACGCCUGCCCGGUGCUGGAAGGUUAAGAGGAGUGCUUAGCGUAAGCGAAGGUAUGAAUUGAAGCCCCAGUAAACGGCGGCCGUAACUAUAACGGUCCUAAGGUAGCGAAAUUCCUUGUCGGGUAAGUUCCGACCCGCACGAAAGGCGUAAUGAUUUGGGCACUGUCUCAACGAGAGACUCGGUGAAAUUUUAGUACCUGUGAAGAUGCAGGUUACCCGCGACAGGACGGAAAGACCCCAUGGAGCUUUACUGCAGUUUGAUAUUGAGUGUCUGUACCACAUGUACAGGAUAGGUAGGAGUCUAAGAGAUCGGGACGCCAGUUUCGAAGGAGACGCUGUUGGGAUACUACCCUUGUGUUAUGGCCACUCUAACCCAGAUAGGUGAUCCCUAUCGGAGACAGUGUCUGACGGGCAGUUUGACUGGGGCGGUCGCCUCCUAAAAGGUAACGGAGGCGCCCAAAGGUUCCCUCAGAAUGGUUGGAAAUCAUUCGCAGAGUGUAAAGGUAUAAGGGAGCUUGACUGCGAGAGCUACAACUCGAGCAGGGACGAAAGUCGGGCUUAGUGAUCCGGUGGUUCCGUAUGGAAGGGCCAUCGCUCAACGGAUAAAAGCUACCCUGGGGAUAACAGGCUUAUCUCCCCCAAGAGUUCACAUCGACGGGGAGGUUUGGCACCUCGAUGUCGGCUCGUCGCAUCCUGGGGCUGUAGUCGGUCCCAAGGGUUGGGCUGUUCGCCCAUUAAAGCGGCACGCGAGCUGGGUUCAGAACGUCGUGAGACAGUUCGGUCCCUAUCCGUCGCGGGCGUAGGAAAUUUGAGAGGAUCUGCUCCUAGUACGAGAGGACCAGAGUGGACUUACCGCUGGUGUACCAGUUGUCUUGCCAAAGGCAUCGCUGGGUAGCUAUGUAGGGAAGGGAUAAACGCUGAAAGCAUCUAAGUGUGAAACCCACCUCAAGAUGAGAUUUCCCAUGAUUAUAUAUCAGUAAGAGCCCUGAGAGAUGAUCAGGUAGAUAGGUUAGAAGUGGAAGUGUGGCGACACAUGUAGCGGACUAAUACUAAUAGCUCGAGGACUUAUCCA
This 2898-nucleotide ribosomal RNA is filed under the name Streptococcus pneumoniae 6735-05. Its description in RNAcentral is "bacterial LSU rRNA". It matches the Rfam family "Bacterial large subunit ribosomal RNA". The record is from RNAcentral. Lineage: Bacteria; Bacillati; Bacillota; Bacilli; Lactobacillales; Streptococcaceae.